This 452-nucleotide ribosomal RNA is filed under the name uncultured bacterium. RNAcentral's name for it is "partial 16S ribosomal RNA". It matches the Rfam family "Bacterial small subunit ribosomal RNA", at positions 30 to 507 of the family's 1533-position model. The record is from RNAcentral.
UGAACGCUGACAGAAUGCUUAACACAUGCAAGUCAACUUGAACUUCGGUUUGGGUGGCGGACGGGUGAGUAACGCGUAAAGAACUUGCCUCACAGCUAGGGACAACAUUUGGACACGAAUGCUAAUACCUGAUAUUAUGAUUAUAUGGCAUCGUAUAAUUAUGAAAGCUAUAUGCGCUGUGAGAGAGCUUUGCGUCCCAUUAGCUAGUUGGAGAGGUAACAGCUCACCAAGGCGAUGAUGGGUAGCCGGCCUGAGAGGGUGAUCGGCCACAAGGGGACUGAGACACGGCCCUUACUCCUACGGGAGGCAACAGUGGGGAAUAUUGGACAAUGGACCGAGAGUCUGAUCCAGCAAUUCUGUGUGCACGAUGAAGUUUUUCGGAAUGUAAAGUGCUUUCAGUUGGGAAGAAAAAAAUGACGGUACCAACAGAAGAAGUGACGGCUAAAUACGUG